GGACGCUGCUCAGGUAGGAGACCACGACCCCUGUCGCGCGCUCGCCAAUCUCGCCACCAUCGAAGAUCUGAUGCGGUCUAAGUCCAUCUGAUGUGCCAAUGGGACGGAGUUCGUGGAUAGGAUCGACGGAUCUGACUGCCAUCCCUAGCUUCCUCCGCCCCGACAAGCCUCUACGGUGCUGCUACGGCUCCUUGGUCGUCGUCACUGGAUGCACUUACGGGAUUGGCCACGCCAUCGCCCCCGCCUCGCGGCGACCAGAGCGAGACGCAGUGGCGGUGGUGCUCGAGGACAGGCAGCUCCCCAGGAGGAUAUUGCGGGCUUCUGGAGACCAUCUAGGACCGGAUGAGGUCUAGCCGGUUCAGAGGAGUGCACUCUCAAGGUGAACCCAGAAGACCCGGUAUGGACAAAGAGGUUUUGACAAGCAGAAUGAGGAUAUUUAUAAUCUUGGAGUUGUUCACUGGUUUUGACCUAUUUGACAAAAUUGUAAGACCCACUCUUCUUAGUGAUGUCUGUAAUGGUCAUUCCUGACUUCAAUCUGCAGUUAGAACUUUCAUCUGUUUGUAGCUUGGAUGUCUGAGCGUAUGGUGGCUCGGAUGUACCUUGAAACAUAUUUUUAAAACUUCAUUCUGUUGAAUUUGACCUCGCAAGACACUCAAAAUUAACAGAUUUUUUAUUUCAUUGCACCAGUAACUCAAUUAUUUAUUGGACCAGUAACUCAAUUAUUUAUUGCACCAGUAACUCAAUUAUUGCUACUUGUAAAUUGUAAUCCAUGUUGUAUAGUGCAAAUUGGAAGAGCAUUGGAUUAGACCUGAUCAUGGAUGCUUUGCAAUCACCUUCUACAUGGCCUUUGGAAUUUGAGAAGAAACAACAAGAGAAUUACUUUUUCUUCCUAUUCAAAGGAUAAUCAGCUGACUCCAUUUACAUGGAAGUUGAGCUUCAGAGUCUAUCGUUCCUUAGAUAUACUUGCUCUAGGGAAAGCACUCCCAGCAAUGUGUUCAUAGUCAGGUUCAGUUCUUCCCAGUUUUGAAGUAAGAAAUUCCUAACGCACUAUUGGUCUGUAUUUUUUUACAUAACCUUGAUGAGACGGAGAAAAGCAACUCAGGGUGUCUGAUCUAUGCCGCACAAGGAAGUUUCUGCUCGCAAGAGGGAGAUUCCUAACGCACCUCUUUCAAGUGGAGCUGGAGGAGUUAAAUUUUUUUUUUUGAAGAAAUAUCCUGUUGGAAUCAUUCGAUGACUACAUUGUUGAUAGAUUGUAAUACAUUCAUCUGAUGAUUUGCAUUCACCUUAAACCUCCUUGCCUGCUUUUGGUAUCUACAGACUAGAUGAAGUAAGGUUCUACUAUGGAUGUUUCAUAAAUAAUAUGCAUACAGAAGCUAAACAUCGGAUCAACUUCACCACGAGGGCAAGAGGUUGGAUGUUGCUUUAACUUAUUCAUAGUGUUCAACUUUCAAAUCAACUUCUGGGUAGAUGUAUUCUAACUUUUUUUUGCAAUAAAUAGUAGGCAAACCUGGAUAAGUUUUUUUCAAACCAUUAGAUAUGUUACUAUCAGUAUUCAUUAGAUUUCUGUUGGGGCUGGAGGUGUAAGCAAAGGAACUCCUAUCAUUUAUCAAGUUACACAAAGUUCAUGUCUGUAUUUCUGUAGAGGUUGGAGUUAAGCUAGGAAGUUUCUAUUCUUUUUUAUCUGAUGUGAAGUUGAUGUAUGUUGAUUUCUUCUGGGGACUCGUGGCUUCAUCUGGGGACUGGAGGUGGAACCGCUGUGGAACCACCGAGCAGGCUGAGGCGUCCGCAGCGUGGCCAUCGAGGGGCUCCCAACCACAGCGCAUUGAUGUCGACGUGUUUCUGGCCAAACACCCAGCGAACUGUUGCCCUGUCGUGUGCUGCCAGUAAACUGUUGUGUUCAGGGUGGAAGAAUAUGGUGAUGAUAAGAUGGAGAGAGAGCCCGUGAAAGUACUGCUAAGUUUAAGCUUAGUAUCGAAGAGUUGGAAAUUCUUAUUGAAUCUUACUGUGUGCAGACGGCGUGAUGAAAACUUAUUUGUGUUAUUGCAGUAGCAGUUAAUUGGCCUGGGACCAAGCACGGUGUGUGACCACUCUGCCGAUGGCGGCGGCAUGGACUGAGUAAUUCAACAACCAUCUGUUCGUGCAAGACAUACAGAUGUUGGACUGGGCAUGUAAUUGCCUUGGCAAUAAGAUGAUAAGAGAAUAAAAGUGAUGAAUAUAUGUGCACCACCCAAACAUUCCCUGUGAAACAUUUUUCGUGUCCAUGUGUGGGUAGAGGAAGAACAAUAUUUUAUGUUCUCGAAGAUAUGAUGGAGAGUAACAAAUGAGUAGCAAUCUGAGAGAAAAAUGAAAGGAAGAUUAUGCCUUCCAUGUCCAUUAGCUCCAAGUUGAACUCUAGAGAUGGAUGAAAUCGAAAGGAGGGGGAGAUGAAGAAAUAAUGGACCAUGUGUUCUGGUCUCAUGCUAAGAUAUCUUCAACUAUCUAUUUUUUUCUGCGGAAACACAAGGGAGCUAUUACUGUUUUUACUCUUUUUCUUAUUGUUCUAGCAUGAGUAGAGGGGCAGGAUGGGCGAUUGAAGAAGAAACAGAGACAAGAUUAUCUUCCUUAGUUGUGGCAUGAAAGAGAUAUCACUAAAACGAGAAUGUUGUUGUGGCAAAUAAGAAAUGUUUAGAAAUACCGCCAAUUUGUAGUGCUACAAGCAUCUGACUUUUUUUUACUAUAGCAAUGCAUGGAGUGAAGGUGCAAAGAUAAGUUUUCCAGGAGAUGCGCUGAGAGGUCUAGCGAUAACCAUAGGGAGGCCAACUCUUUUUCAAUCAACUAAUCUCAAGGAUGGGAUGACACGAGUAAGCAAUGUAACAGAGACAAAAACGGUGAGUGGCAUGACCAGACCAAGCAUAAUGGGCCGACUAAUAGGUCUAACAACGUCACACGAAAUUGUACAUUGCAGGGUGAUGUAUGUAAACCUAUUUCUUGAAGUAAUGUUCAAGGCAGGAACUAAAAAAAUCGUAGUCAAUAAGA
This is a long non-coding RNA of Lolium rigidum, 3015 nucleotides long. RefSeq lists it as uncharacterized. The record is from RefSeq and is a predicted model, not a curated record. The transcript is spliced from 5 exons. Lineage: Eukaryota; Viridiplantae; Streptophyta; Magnoliopsida; Poales; Poaceae.